RNAcentral lists this long non-coding RNA (1617 nucleotides) under Trifolium pratense (red clover). RNAcentral describes it as "long non-coding RNA (TPRA_LNC008924)". Lineage: Eukaryota; Viridiplantae; Streptophyta; Magnoliopsida; Fabales; Fabaceae. The record is from RNAcentral.
AAGAGAAGAAUUGCAUUGAAUAAACACUGUUACAAGAGUAAUUCCACAGGAUAAGCAAGAUUACAUUAUAAACUACAUCCUAAGCUAUCCUUGAUCAUACCUCUAUGAGGAAGUUAGUUCCUCAUAGUGCUUCGAUUCACUCCAAGCUCCAACUCCAUGGCAAUUGCUUUCAUUUGGUUGAAUGUCUUGAAGCUAUCCACUUCGUUCCAGGAUCAGACCUUCUUGAUUGCUCCAAAUCUCAGAAUAUAGGAUAAACUGCAGCAAAAUUCGAACCCAGAACCAGAAAAAUGGCUUUUCCUUAUAUAAUAAUUGCAACCACGCCGCGCGUGGUUGCUCAUCUUCAUACUAAGCCGCGCGUGUAACUGCAUCACGCGACGCGUGAUCACAACAGAGGCCACCGGUCUUCAUCAUUCCUUAAUUACGCCGCGCGUGAUGGCUUCCACGCCCCCGGCGUAGUUCAAAACAUUCAUCACGCCGCGCGUGGUCCUUAUCACGCUGCGCGUGGUGAUAGCAGUGAAGAAUCAUUCUCUGGUCCAGGAAUUACGACGCGCGUGGACAAGUCCCCACGCCGCGCGUAAUAGAAAGUAGGAUUUUGUUAAAUAGAACUUUUCUGGGACUAAUAUCUGCUAGGAUUAAAAGUUUGACUGCUAAGAUUAAAAUAUUAUUAUUUAGAUAUUUUUAAGUAAAGAAUAUAAAACAUGGUUAAAAAUGAAUUAUAGUUGAAAACUAUUCAUGUUAAAAUAUUUUAUAUUCAUAUGAUUGAAAAGGUAUUGAGAUCAUACAUAACGAUUUUCUCUCUCUUUUAUUAAUUUUUUUUUUUGUUUUCUCAAAAGCUAACAAAAACAGCUAUUUCAUUUUAUAGAUAAAAGUCAUUUUAUGGAUCCGUACCAGCUAACCUACUCUUAGCUUGAAAUAACAUUUACAGGCCCCUCUUGUUUUCAAAAAGUCCUCACCUCACUUUGUAUUGUAACCACAUAAACUAUACUCUCAUGGGAUAGAAGACAUAUCAACCAAAUAUUGUUCCUCUUAUCUUAUAUUUAUAUUAAUCCACAAACUCAAAUGUUGAACAAGAACAGUACUAAACUGGACUGAUAAUAUUAUGUGAAAAUCAAAAAUUGGUUAGAGAUACAAAUUAGUUUAUGAUUUUUCAAAUUUGAAUUUGUUGGAUUUCAGAAAAACACUUGAACAAUCAAUUCACCACGCCUAACAAAAAAAUCUAAUAAGAAAAGUAUAUAAUAUAUUUAGUUCUUUGACAUAAAAAGUUAUGAAUAAAAUAUGAUUAGGCCUACUCUAAAAUGAUGAAGGAUAAAUAUCCUAAAUUAUCAAGGGGUAGUUUAAAAAAAACUUUAUUUUAAAGGUUAUUCUACUUAUGUGGUCUACUCCAUUUAGUUGUUGAGUAAAUAAUCCCAAAUUAUGUAGGAGUAGAGUAUAUCUCACCUUUAUUGAAAAGGAAAUUAGAGCUAGCAAAUCGUGGAGAAGUGGGAAAUUAUUGAGAGAUUAAUAGUAUUUCAAAGGGAUAUCUUUGACAUAAACGAUUAAUCUUCAAUCAUCAUGAGAGAGAAGAAAAGUGCAUGGACCAAAACAAAGGCAUGUUCUAUUAAAACAUAACCUCUUAAU